UAGGUGGGAGGCUUUGAAGUGUGGACGCCAGUCUGCAUGGAGCCGACCUUGAAAUACCACCCUUUAAUGUUUGAUGUUCUAACGUGGACCCGUAAUCCGGGUUGCGGACAGUGUCUGGUGGGUAGUUUGACUGGGGCGGUCUCCUCCUAAAGAGUAACGGAGGAGCACGAAGGUUGGCUAAUCCUGGUCGGACAUCAGGAGGUUAGUGCAAUGGCAUAAGCCAGCUUGACUGCGAGCGUGACGGCGCGAGCAGGUGCGAAAGCAGGUCAUAGUGAUCCGGUGGUUCUGAAUGGAAGGGCCAUCGCUCAACGGAUAAAAGGUACUCCGGGGAUAACAGGCUGAUACCGCCCAAGAGUUCAUAUCGACGGCGGUGUUUGGCACCUCGAUGUCGGCUCAUCACAUCCUGGGGCUGAAGUAGGUCCCAAGGGUAUGGCUGUUCGCCAUUUAAAGUGGUACGCGAGCUGGGUUUAGAACGUCGUGAGACAGUUCGGUCCCUAUCUGCCGUGGGCGCUGGAGAACUGAGGGGGGCUGCUCCUAGUACGAGAGGACCGGAGUGGACGCAUCACUGGUGUUCGGGUUGUCAUGCCAAUGGCACUGCCCGGUAGCUAAAUGCGGAAGAGAUAAGUGCUGAAAGCAUCUAAGCACGAAACUUGCC
This 655-nucleotide ribosomal RNA is filed under the name Escherichia coli. Its description in RNAcentral is "partial 23S ribosomal RNA". It matches the Rfam family "Bacterial large subunit ribosomal RNA", at positions 2144 to 2798 of the family's 2925-position model. Lineage: Bacteria; Pseudomonadati; Pseudomonadota; Gammaproteobacteria; Enterobacterales; Enterobacteriaceae. The record is from RNAcentral.